This is a long non-coding RNA of Diabrotica virgifera virgifera (western corn rootworm), 935 nucleotides long. RefSeq lists it as uncharacterized. The transcript has 2 exons. The record is from RefSeq and is a predicted model, not a curated record. NCBI's taxonomy places the organism in Eukaryota, Metazoa, Arthropoda, Insecta, Coleoptera, Chrysomelidae.
ACUGUAUGGAUGGCACAGGAAGAGAACAAGAGUACAAGAACAUGAAACAUCUUAUUAUGAAUGUAUAUGUAUGUGAUCCUCAAAAAAUUAUUUUUCAAAACAAGAUAGAGAAAGAGCUUUAAAAUCCCAAGGAUCCUGCAAAAUGUUUAUUUGGUGUACUAGUCGAAUAAUAGUAUCUAAAAAUAUCGAAACUGGUUUAAAACACAUUAUGGGCAUGAGGAUGAUAUAGAGCACUUACAUAAAUACCAAAAUCAGAUAAAUAUCUCUUCAAAGUUUAUUUUGAGACUUUCUUCAAAAAUUAAACUUCAGACUGUUCAGGAUAGCAUAAUAGCAUAGGAGGCGAAUUAAAAAGAAUUAAUUUACUUAAAAGAAAAGAUAUCACAAACAUUAAACUCUCUUAUGGCAUUGAUUUGAAAGAUGGGUAUAUGUACAAUGAUGAUGCAACCAGUGUUUAUUUUUGGGUUGAAUACUUACAGACUCAUGUCCAAUAUUAUUUUACAAACAACAGGGCAUACUAAUGGAUAUUCAUUCUGAAUUUAACAUUUAUGAUUUUUGUCUUAUUUUCCUUAAUACUGUGCCAAAAGGAAAUGUUAAUUAAGUUUGGCAAAUCCUUUAUCACAAUCGAUGGAACUCAUGGGCUCAAUUCCUAUGACUUUGAACUUAUGACAGUAUUAGUAAAAGAUGAAUUUGGGAAUGGAUUUUGUACUGCUUUCUUAUUUUCAAAUAGAAAACAUACCUACUUUAAUUUACCAAUUUUUUUAAAUACAUGUCUGUGUUGGUAUUAUAUGUAUAGUCAAAUGUUUUCAUAUCAGGCAUAAGUGACACCUUUUACAAUGCCUCGUCAAAUGUAAUGGGUAUUGCUCCUAAUAGACUGUUAAGUGCCUGGCACAUAGAUAGGGCAUGGUAAGUAAAUCUUAAUAAAAUAUCUGAUUCUG